UAGCCCGAAGAAAUUUGGAUUAACCCCCCAUAGUAUUGAGAUAAGGCAUCUUAUUUCAAUUAAAACCACGGUGGUAAUAGAUGAGUAUGCGUCCUAUUAGUUUGUUGGUAAGGUAACGGCUUACCAAGACUUCGAUAGGUAGGGGUCCUGAGAGGGAGAUCCCCCACACUGGUACUGAGACACGGACCAGACUCCUACGGGAGGCAGCAGUGAGGAAUAUUGGACAAUGGAGGCAACUCUGAUCCAGCCAUGCCGCGUGCAGGAAGACUGCCCUAUGGGUUGUAAACUGCUUUUAUAGAGGAAGAAACCUCCCUUCGUGAAGGGAAUUGACGGUACUCUACGAAUAAGGAUCGGCUAACUCCGUGCCAGCAGCCGCGGUAAUACGGAGGAUCCAAGCGUUAUCCGGAAUCAUUGGGUUUAAAGGGUCCGUAGGCGGACUAAUAAGUCAGUGGUGAAAGUCUGCAGCUCAACUGUAGAAUUGCCAUUGAUACUGUUAGUCUUGAGUCAUUAUGAAGUGGUUAGAAUGAGUGGUGUAGCGGUGAAAUGCAUAGAUAUCACUCAGAAUACCGAUUGCGAAGGCAGAUCACUAAUAAUGUACUGACGCUGAUGGACGAAAGCGUA
This 621-nucleotide ribosomal RNA is filed under the name Bacteroidetes bacterium J2012s. Its description in RNAcentral is "bacterial SSU rRNA". It matches the Rfam family "Bacterial small subunit ribosomal RNA", at positions 144 to 763 of the family's 1533-position model. Lineage: Bacteria; Pseudomonadati; Bacteroidota. The record is from RNAcentral.